This 484-nucleotide ribosomal RNA is filed under the name uncultured bacterium. RNAcentral's name for it is "partial 16S ribosomal RNA". It matches the Rfam family "Bacterial small subunit ribosomal RNA", at positions 29 to 507 of the family's 1533-position model. The record is from RNAcentral.
AUUGAACGCUGGCGGCAUGCUUUACACAUGCAAGUCGAACGGCAGCGCGGGCUUCGGCCUGGCGGCGAGUGGCGAACGGGUGAGUAAUGCAUCGGAACGUGCCCAGUAGUGGGGGAUAGCCCGGCGAAAGCCGGAUUAAUACCGCAUACGACCUAAGGGUGAAAGCGGGGGACCGAAAGGCCUCGCGCUAUUGGAGCGGCCGAUGUCGGAUUAGCUAGUUGGUGGGGUAAAGGCUUACCAAGGCGACGAUCCGUAGCUGGUCUGAGAGGACGACCAGCCACACUGGGACUGAGACACGGCCCAGACUCCUACGGGAGGCAGCAGUGGGGAAUUUUGGACAAUGGGGGCAACCCUGAUCCAGCCAUGCCGCGUGCGGGAAGAAGGCCUUCGGGUUGUAAACCGCUUUUGUUCGGGAAGAAAUCCUCUGGGCUAAUACCCCGGGGGGAUGACGGUACCGGAAGAAUAAGCACCGGCUAACUACGUG